Molecule: ribosomal RNA, 384 nt
Filed under: uncultured bacterium
Lineage: Bacteria
Description: bacterial SSU rRNA
Rfam family: Bacterial small subunit ribosomal RNA
Source: RNAcentral
AAUGGGCGAAAGCCUGAUGCAGCAACGCCGCGUGAACGAUGAAGGUCUUCGGAUCGUAAAGUUCUGUCGCAGGGGAAGAUAAUGACGGUACCCUGUGAGGAAGCACCGGCUAACUACGUGCCAGCAGCCGCGGUAAUACGUAGGGUGCUAGCGUUAUCCGGAUUUACUGGGCGUAAAGGGUGCGUAGGUGGUCUUUCAAGUCGGUGGUUAAAGGCUACGGCUCAACCGUAUUAAGCCGCCGAAACUGGAAGACUUGAGUGCAGGAGAGGAAAGUGGAAUUCUCAGUGUAGCGGUGAAAUGCGUAGAUAUUGAGAAGAACACCAGUAGCGAAGGCGGCUUUCUGGACUGUAACUGACACUGAGGCACGAAAGCGUGGGUAGCAAA